RNAcentral lists this ribosomal RNA (903 nucleotides) under uncultured bacterium. Its description in RNAcentral is "bacterial SSU rRNA". It matches the Rfam family "Bacterial small subunit ribosomal RNA", at positions 1 to 910 of the family's 1533-position model. The record is from RNAcentral.
GGCGAAAAAAAAGACAUAAUAAGCUCGGUCCUCGCGAUGCAUCUAGAUUUGUAGAGUUUGAUCCUGGCUCAGGAUGAACGCUGGCGGCGUGCUUAACACAUGCAAGUCGAACGGUGAAGCUCAACUUGGUGGGUGGAUCAUUGGCGAACGGGUGAGUAACACGUGAGCAAUCUGCCCCUGACUCUGGGAUAAGCGCUGGAAACGGCGUCUAAUACUGGAUACAAACCGUGGAGGCAUCUUCCCCGGUUGGAAAGAUUUUUUGGUCAGGGAUGAGCUCCCGGCCUAUCAGCUUGUUGGUGAGGUAAUGGCUCACCAAGGCGUCCACGGGUAACCGGCCUGAAAGGGUGACCGGCCACACUGGGACUGAAACACGGCCCAAACUCCUACGGGAGGCAGCAGUGGGGGAUAUUGCACAAUGGGCGAAAGCCUGAUGCAGCAACGCCGCGUGAGGGAUGACGGCCUUCGGGUUGUAAACCUCUUUUAGCAGGGAAAAAGCGAAAGUGACGGUACCUGCAGAAAAAGCGCCGGCUAACUACGUGCCAGCAGCCGCGGUAAUACGUAAGGCGCAAGCGUUAUCCGGAAUUAUUGGGCGUAAAGAGCUCGUAAGCGGUUUGUCGCGUCUGCUGUGAAAUCCCGAGGCUCAACUUCGGUCUGCAGUGGGUACCGGCAGACUAUAGUGCGGUAGGGAGAUAGGAAUUCCUGGUGUAACGGUGGAAUGCGCAGAUAUCAGGGGAACACCGAUGGCGAAGCAGAUCUCUGGGCCGUACUGACGCUGAGGACGAAGCUGGGGAGCAACGGCUUAGAUACCUGUAUUCCACCCGUAACGUGGACUAUUGGGGUCAUCCGAUCGUGACCAGCUACGCAUAGUCCCGCCUGGGAUACGCCCAGCUAAAUCAGAUGACG